GAUGAAGAACGUAGCGAAAUGCGAUAAGUAAUGUGAAUUGCAGAAUUCAGUGAAUCAUCGAAUCUUUGAACGCACAUUGCGCCCGCCAGUAUUCUGGCGGGCAUGCCUGUUCGAGCGUCAUUACAACCCUCAGGCCCCGGGCCUGGCGUUGGGGAUCGGCGGAAGCCCCCUGUGGGCACACGCCGUCCCUCAAAUACAGUGGCGGUCCCGCCGCAGCUUCCAUUGCGUAGUAGCUAACACCUCGCAACUGGAGAGCGGCGCGGCCAUGCCGUAAAACACCCAACUUCUGAAUGUUGACCUCGAAUCAGGUAGGAAUACCCGCUGAACUUAAGCAUAUCAAUAAGCGGAGGA
RNAcentral lists this unclassified non-coding RNA (351 nucleotides) under soil metagenome. RNAcentral's name for it is "partial contains 5.8S ribosomal RNA, internal transcribed spacer 2, and large subunit ribosomal RNA". The stretch from base 1 to 120 matches the Rfam family "5.8S ribosomal RNA", at positions 35 to 154 of the family's 154-position model. The record is from RNAcentral.